AGAAACUUAGGAUGAUCCAAACCGAAGGCCUUCAAAGCCUUAAACAAGAGUGAAACCCUCUUAGUUUCUG
RNAcentral lists this transfer RNA (70 nucleotides) under Petroica australis (New Zealand robin). RNAcentral's name for it is "tRNA-Trp". It matches the Rfam family "tRNA". From Rfam's summary of the family: Transfer RNA (tRNA) molecules are approximately 80 nucleotides in length. Their secondary structure includes four short double-helical elements and three loops (D, anti-codon, and T loops). Further hydrogen bonds mediate the characteristic L-shaped molecular structure. tRNAs have two regions of fundamental functional importance: the anti-codon, which is responsible for specific mRNA codon recognition, and the 3' end, to which the tRNAs corresponding amino acid is attached (by aminoacyl-tRNA synthetases). tRNAs cope with the degeneracy of the genetic code in two manners: having more than one tRNA (with a specific anti-codon) for a particular amino acid; and 'wobble' base-pairing, i.e. permitting non-standard base-pairing at the 3rd anti-codon position. The record is from RNAcentral. Lineage: Eukaryota; Metazoa; Chordata; Aves; Passeriformes; Petroicidae.